This 549-nucleotide ribosomal RNA is filed under the name uncultured Rhizophagus. RNAcentral's name for it is "SSU rRNA". It matches the Rfam family "Eukaryotic small subunit ribosomal RNA", at positions 548 to 1098 of the family's 1831-position model. The record is from RNAcentral. Lineage: Eukaryota; Fungi; Glomeromycota; Glomeromycetes; Glomerales; Glomeraceae.
UUGGAGGGCAAGUCUGGUGCCAGCAGCCGCGGUAAUUCCAGCUCCAAUAGCGUAUAUUAAAGUUGUUGCAGUUAAAAAGCUCGUAGUUGAAUUUCGGGGUCAGUAGUUUGGUCGUGCCACUGGUAUGUACUGGGCUCACUGAUUCCUCCUUCCUGAUGAACUGUAAUGCCAUUAAUUUGGUGUUGCAGGGAAACUGGACUGUUACUUUGAAAAAAUUAGAGUGUUUAAAGCAGGCUAACGCUUGAAUACAUUAGCAUGGAAUAAUGAAAUAGGACGUUUGAUCCUAUUUUGUUGGUUUCUAGGAUUGACGUAAUGAUUAAUAGGGAUAGUUGGGGGCAUUAGUAUUCAAUUGUCAGAGGUGAAAUUCUUGGAUUUAUUGAAGACUAACUACUGCGAAAGCAUUUGCCAAGGAUGUUUUCAUUAAUCAAGAACGAAAGUUAGGGGAUCGAAGACGAUCAGAUACCGUCGUAGUCUUAACCAUAAACUAUGCCGACUAGGGAUCGGAUGAUGUUAAUUUUUUAAUGACUCAUUCGGCGCCUUACGGGAAAC